GAUGAACGCUGGCGGCGUGCCUAAUACAUGCAAGUCGAGCGAACAGACGAGGAGCUUGCUCCUCUGACGUUAGCGGCGGACGGGUGAGUAACACGUGGAUAACCUACCUAUAAGACUGGGAUAACUUCGGGAAACCGGAGCUAAUACCGGAUAAUAUAUUGAACCGCAUGGUUCAAUAGUGAAAGACGGUUUUGCUGUCACUUAUAGAUGGAUCCGCGCCGCAUUAGCUAGUUGGUAAGGUAACGGCUUACCAAGGCGACGAUGCGUAGCCGACCUGAGAGGGUGAUCGGCCACACUGGAACUGAGACACGGUCCAGACUCCUACGGGAGGCAGCAGUAGGGAAUCUUCCGCAAUGGGCAAAAGCCUGACGGAGCAACGCCGCGUGAGUGAUGAAGGUCUUCGGAUCGUAAAACUCUGUUAUUAGGGAAGAACAAAUGUGUAAGUAACUAUGCACGUCUUGACGGUACCUAAUCAGAAAGCCACGGCUAACUACGUG
This 497-nucleotide ribosomal RNA is filed under the name uncultured bacterium. RNAcentral's name for it is "partial 16S ribosomal RNA". It matches the Rfam family "Bacterial small subunit ribosomal RNA", at positions 28 to 507 of the family's 1533-position model. The record is from RNAcentral.